UGCACUACUUCUGCACUGUGUUCAACCAUCCAGUGAAUAAUAAGUGCUGCUGUGAAGAGCACAAUUCUCAGACUGAAUGUUGAACAUCAGAUAGUUUCUCCUGUUGAUUUAAACCUUGUUGUACAGAUGGAACAUUGGCUGUGGAUUAUUCUUGCUGCUCUUUUCUUUGAGUGUAAAGGAGAAGACAAAGUGAACCAGCCAACAGGAGAUGUCAUCGCUGCUGAAGGACACACAGUUACACUUGGCUGCACAUUUGAGACCAGUGGCACAUAUGCCUAUCUGUUCUGGUACAAGCAAGAAGUAAAUGAUUUCCCAAAGUACAUUCUGAAGCGUUACUUAAAAACAGAAGAUAAUGCUGCCGAGUUCAAGAAAGACAGAUUUGAUGCUACAAUCAACAAGACAUCAGUUCCUCUGAAGAUCCAGAAGCUUCAGCUGUCUGACUCUGCUGUGUACUACUGUGCUCUGCAGCCCACAGUGACAGGAAACACCAGAACUCUGUACACAAACCUUUGGAGCAAAGACAACACAAUACUCCACAACAUCCACCAGAGGGAGUCACUCUGAGUUCUGAAGCAUUUGGCUGAAUAUGAGCAGAUAAUAUUUCCAGAAAUACUUUAGAGUUCAUCCUGCUGCUUUUAUCAGCAGUCACAUCAUCAAUAAAUACAAUGGAACCAGUUCCAUUGGCAGCCAUACAUGUCCACGCCAUAACACUACCACCAUCAUGUUUCACUGAUGAGGUGGUGUGCUUUGGAUCAUGAGCAGUUCCUUCCCUUCUCCAUACUCUUC
This is a non-coding RNA of Cottoperca gobio, 786 nucleotides long. Lineage: Eukaryota; Metazoa; Chordata; Actinopteri; Perciformes; Bovichtidae. The record is from the annotation of a RefSeq genome assembly.